GACGAACGCUGGCGGCGUGCCUAAUACAUGCAAGUCGAACGCACAGCGAAAGGUGCUUGCACCUUUCAAGUGAGUGGCGAACGGGUGAGUAACACGUGGACAACCUGCCUCAAGGCUGGGGAUAACAUUUGGAAACAGAUGCUAAUACCGAAUAAAACUCAGUGUCGCAUGACACAAAGUUAAAAGGCGCUUUGGCGUCACCUAGAGAUGGAUCCGCGGUGCAUUAGCUAGGUGGUGGGGUAAAGGCCUACCAAGACAAUGAUGCAUAGCCGAGUUGAGAGACUGAUCGGCCACAUUGGGACUGAGACACGGCCCAAACUCCUACGGGAGGCUGCAGUAGGGAAUCUUCCACAAUGGGCGAAAGCCUGAUGGAGCAACGCCGCGUGUGUGAUGAAGGCUUUCGGGUCGUAAAGCACUGUUGUAUGGGAAGAACAGCUAGAAUAGGGAAUGAUUUUAGUUUGACGGUACCAUACCAGAAAGGGACGGCUAAAUACGUGCCAGCAGCCGCGGUAA
RNAcentral lists this ribosomal RNA (513 nucleotides) under uncultured bacterium. RNAcentral describes it as "partial 16S ribosomal RNA". It matches the Rfam family "Bacterial small subunit ribosomal RNA", at positions 28 to 523 of the family's 1533-position model. The record is from RNAcentral.